GGAACGCUAGCUUUUCAUUGAUUGGUGAAAUAAUGCCGGCUCAAACGUCUUGACCCCGGGGAAGGCUACUUUAUUUCUGUGCCUGUUUCCUCCUCUCUAAGAUGGGAGCCGUUCCGGGAGCAGAGAGAGGAUCCAGCAAGGUCGUGAAAUGGGACAAUGACUUUCARGUCCUUCCGGGAGCUGCACUCCACAGUUUGUAGUGGUGAACAGGAUCCAGACCUUUGCCUGAUGGCACACUUGCAGGUGGCGGUGCGGACGAGUGGAUAUAUAUAUAUAUGCAAGGAAGAAGGGAGAGAAGGAGAGGAAGUGGACGUUGGCCGGAUGACUGGAGGACAGAGAAAAAGAGAUGAGCUGCCCAGCAAGAACCACAGGCCUGCAGGCUCGGGGAUGAACUUGGCCUCCCUCCCACCUCUUCUUGGAGAGUGGCCCCUUUUGAAAUCGCUCAGUCCCAUCUCCAUCUCCCUCUGGGCAGAGCUGCUAACGCAAGUCCCUGGUCUGAUGGAGAGCGAGCUCCUGGCGUGCAGAACCAUGAGCUCUAGGCCACCUGCCAGCAUAGGUUGUCACCCCCACCCAGACCCCAGAGGUGGGAGGCGCAGGGUGGGCGAGGGCACUGCCCAUGGUGAGCCCACUCCACUGACUCUAGAGUCACUGCCUGAACGCUUCCAUUGAUAUUCCCAGAACACCCAAAUGACGUGUGGCCGUUCCAGGUCCUGGGCGGUGCAUUUAACAGCGUCUGGGUCACUGAUGGAAUGCAGAGGAGACUGGGUCCUGUCCUCUUCUGUCCCAUGCAGGCACGUUCCAGCACCAGAUUACGUAAUGGUCCUGGUUGUGAGUGAGCACUCACCCGUCUGGUCUGAGCUCAAUUUGCAAAUGCCACCCCCCACCCCCCACUGUGGGCUCCUGUAAAUAUUCAUCAAAGAUGAGGUCAGAUGAAGCAGCAGACUUCAGCUAAGGAUCAUUAUUAACACAAACCACAGCCUUGUCCCCACCUGGGGGGGGGGAUGACAAUACGGUCUAGGGCGGGCCAAGAAUCACAUUUCAAGAGCUUAGGAGAAAUCAGGCAGUGCUUAAAUGAAAUCAGGCAGAGCUUAAGUGAAAUCAGGCAGCACUUAAGUGAAAUCAGGCUGCAGGAAGAGGCACAAGAUGUUAAUGGCGAGGGGGACCCUGUGCCCAGUGACUGAUGGAGCUCUUCCUUAGGAACCUCACUGCCCCCUCCGACUCCAUCAUGGUCAUUUCCCUAAGUACAGUGGAGACGGGUGAG
Molecule: long non-coding RNA, 1261 nt
Filed under: Urocitellus parryii (Arctic ground squirrel)
Lineage: Eukaryota; Metazoa; Chordata; Mammalia; Rodentia; Sciuridae
Description: lncRNA (ENSUPAG00010007494.1)
Source: RNAcentral